UACGUAGGGUGCAAGCGUUGUCCGGAAUUAUUGGGCGUAAAGAGCUCGUAGGCGGCUUGUCACGUCGACUGUGAAAACCCGGGGCUCAACUCCGGGCCUGCAGUCGAUACGGGCUGGCUUGAGUGCGGUAGGGGAGACUGGAAUUCCUGGUGUAGCGGUGAAAUGCGCAGAUAUCAGGAGGAACACCGGUGGCGAAGGCGGAUCUCUGGGCCUUACCUGACGCUGAGGAGCGAAAGCAUGGGGAGCAAACAGG
RNAcentral lists this ribosomal RNA (253 nucleotides) under uncultured bacterium. RNAcentral's name for it is "partial 16S ribosomal RNA". It matches the Rfam family "Bacterial small subunit ribosomal RNA", at positions 524 to 776 of the family's 1533-position model. The record is from RNAcentral.